CAUAUACCUUUUGUAUAAUGGAUUUACAAUAAUUGUAAUUGUUUGUUUAUAAUUUCCUUCCCAUUGUUUUUGUUAAUAAAGAUUAGAUAAAAAAAAAUAAGAUUUUCCUAAAAAGGAAUUUAUAAAAGAAUUAAAACAUUUUAGUAUAAAAAAAAGAACGAUUCUAAAGUAAUGGCGAAUGAAAUAGAAAAAGAAUGAAAAUAAAAGAAUUAUUGACUAAUCAUUUAUAUAAAAAGUACUGUGAAGGAAAUUAUAAACAAACAAUUACAAUUAUUGAUAAUCAUAUACCUUUUGUAUAAUGGAUUUACAAAAUAAAAUGAAGUAAAAUUUAAAAAGUAACUUUAUAAACUUCCUAACUCGAAACCAUAUGAUCUAAUCUUAGAUACUUGAAGAAAUAACUAAUAAAUGUUGAAAAAUUUUUAGAAAAUUUAAGAUUAGCAGCGAAAAACUAAACGAAUAUGGAUAUAGCUAGUUUCUUGUGAAAUUUAUUUAAGUAAAAUGUUAAAAGAAAAACAUAAAGAUUUUAAAUGUAAAGAUUUAAAAUUUAAAAGGAAAAAACCUUAAACUAAAUUUAAUAUAAAAAAAUUAAUUAUUAAUAAUAAAUUUUUAAAAAAUAGAAUUUUGGCUUAGAAACAGCCAUAUUUUAAAGAAAACGUAGUAGUUCACCUUUUUAAAAACAUAAAUAAUAAAUUUAAAUUAAUUUAAAAAAUUUGUAAGUGGUAACAAGAUAUUUUACAAAAGAAAUUGAAAAAUGUAAAAGAAAUAAUGUAAAUAUGAAUAAAACAAAUUUAUUUCCAAAGAAUUCUAUUAAAUUUAUAAAAUAGAUAAAUACAAACUCUAAAUAAAAAAUGAGAAAAAUUGACGAUAAAAAAAAAAAGACAAAUAAAAAAUUGUAUUAUCUAAAAAAAGAGGAAAUUAAAAAAAUAAAAAUUCUAUAUAAGGAACUCGGCAAAAUAAAAUAUCGACUGUUUACCAAAAACAUAGCCAAGAAUAAAAUUCAAGGUGUAACCUGCCCAGUGGUUAAUAAUUAGAAUAAUAAACUUAAAAUUUAACUAAACGGAUGCGGUAUCCUAACCGUAAUAAAGUAGCAUAAUCAUUCGCCACUUAAUUGGUGGAUAGUAUGAACGGUUAAACGAAUAUUUACCUGUCUUAUAUAGAAAAUUAUGAAAUUAAAAUAAUAGUAAAGAUGCUAUUUAAAAUUGUAAGACGAAAAGACCCUAUAGAGCUUAACUAUUUGCUUUUUUAUUAAAAUAAUCAUAGAAAAUUAUAAUAAAAAAAGCUAGGUAGUUUAGUUGGGGCGACUACCUUUUAUUAAUAUCAAAGGUAAACAAAAUAAUUUAUAUAUUUAUUGUAUAAUCCAUCUGUUUAACAAUUACAAAAGUAGGUAAUAAUGACCCGUUAUUAUUAAAAAAGAAAAAUAACGAUUAAUAGAUAAAAGCUACCUUAGGGAUAACAGGAUAAUUUUAAUUUAGAGACCAUAUCAAAAUUAAAGUUUGUCACCUCUAUGUUGAAUUAAGAUAUCCUUAUGAAGCAGAAUUUAUAAAGGGUAGGUCUGUUCGACCUUUAAAAUCUUACAUGAUUUGAGUUCAUUCCGUCGCAAGACAGGAAGGUUUCUAUCUACAAUUAAUAAAAAAGAUCUUUUAGUACGAAAGGAAAAAAGAAUUAAAAAAUAAUUAAAAUAUUUUAAUAAAAUGAAAAAAUAUAAUAAUAAAUUUGAAAUAAAUAGUACUACCCCUAGGGUAUACUAAACCCCAACCCC
Molecule: ribosomal RNA, 1759 nt
Filed under: Nanomia bijuga
Lineage: Eukaryota; Metazoa; Cnidaria; Hydrozoa; Siphonophorae; Agalmatidae
Description: partial 16S ribosomal RNA
Rfam family: Bacterial large subunit ribosomal RNA (bases 241-1646)
Source: RNAcentral